Molecule: ribosomal RNA, 429 nt
Filed under: uncultured bacterium
Lineage: Bacteria
Description: bacterial SSU rRNA
Rfam family: Bacterial small subunit ribosomal RNA
Source: RNAcentral
GAUGAACGCUGGCGGCGCGCCUAACACAUGCAAGUCGAACGGCACCCCUCUCCGGAGGGAAGCGAGUGGCGAACGGCUGAGUAACACGUGGAGAACCUGCCCCCUCCCCCGGGAUAGCCGCCCGAAAGGACGGGUAAUACCGGAUACCCCGGGGUGCCGCAUGGCACCCCGGCUAAAGCCCCGACGGGAGGGGAUGGCUCCGCGGCCCAUCAGGUAGACGGCGGGGUGACGGCCCACCGUGCCGACAACGGGUAGCCGGGUUGAGAGACCGACCGGCCAGAUUGGGACUGAGACACGGCCCAGACUCCUACGGGAGGCAGCAGUGGGGAAUUUUGCGCAAUGGGGGAAACCCUGACGCAGCAACGCCGCGUGCGGGACGAAGGCCUUCGGGUUGUAAACCGCUUUCAGCAGGGAAUAUAGUGAAGGUAC